Molecule: ribosomal RNA, 242 nt
Filed under: uncultured bacterium
Lineage: Bacteria
Description: partial 16S ribosomal RNA
Rfam family: Bacterial small subunit ribosomal RNA
Source: RNAcentral
GAUAAUGGCUCAGGAUGAACGCUAGCGGCAGGCCUAACACAUGCAAGUCGAGGGGCGAGCACGGUGUAGCAAUACACUGGUGGCGACCGGCGCACGGGUGCGUAACGCGUAUGCAACCUACCCAUAACAGGGGGAUAACACUGAGAAAUUGGUACUAAUACCCCAUAACAUCAGGACCGGCAUCGGUUCUGGUUGAAAACUCCGGUGGUUAUGGAUGGGCAUGCGUUGUAUUAGCUGGUUGG